This 694-nucleotide ribosomal RNA is filed under the name uncultured bacterium. Its description in RNAcentral is "bacterial SSU rRNA". It matches the Rfam family "Bacterial small subunit ribosomal RNA", at positions 111 to 823 of the family's 1533-position model. The record is from RNAcentral.
UAACGCGUGGGUAACCUGCCUCAUACAGGGGGAUAACAGUUAGAAAUGACUGCUAAUACCGCAUAAGCGCACAGGGCCGCAUGGUCCGGUGUGAAAAACUCCGGUGGUAUGAGAUGGACCCGCGUCUGAUUAGCUGGUUGGUGAGGUAACGGCCCACCAAGGCGACGAUCAGUAGCCGACCUGAGAGGGUGGCCGGCCACAUUGGGACUGAGACACGGCCCAAACUCCUACGGGAGGCAGCAGUGGGGAAUAUUGCACAAUGGGGGAAACCCUGAUGCAGCAACGCCGCGUGAGUGAAGAAGUAUUUCGGUAUGUAAAGCUCUAUCAGCAGGGAAGAGAAUGACGGUACCUGACUAAGAAGCCCCGGCUAACUACGUGCCAGCAGCCGCGGUAAUACGUAGGGGGCAAGCGUUAUCCGGAUUUACUGGGUGUAAAGGGAGCGUAGACGGCUGUACAAGUCUGAAGUGAAAGCCCGUGGCUCAACCGCGGAACUGCUUUGGAAACUGUAAAGCUGGAGUACUGGAGAGGCAGGCGGAAUUCCUAGUGUAGCGGUGAAAUGCGUAGAUAUUAGGAGGAACACCAGUGGCGAAGGCGGUCUGCUGGACAGCAACUGACGCUGAGGCGCGAAAGCGUGGGUAGCGAACGGGAUUAGAUACCCCGGUAGUCCACGCCGUAAACGAUGAAUACUAGGUGU